This 468-nucleotide ribosomal RNA is filed under the name uncultured bacterium. Its description in RNAcentral is "partial 16S ribosomal RNA". It matches the Rfam family "Bacterial small subunit ribosomal RNA", at positions 29 to 507 of the family's 1533-position model. The record is from RNAcentral.
UACGCACGCUGGCGGCGUGCUUAACACAUGCAAGUCGAACGGAAAGGCCCUGCUUUUGUGGGGUGCUCGAGUGGCGAACGGGUGAGUAACACGUGAGUAACCUGCCCUUGACUUUGGGAUAACUUCAGGAAACUGGGGCUAAUACCGGAUAGGAGCUCCUGCUGCAUGGUGGGGGUUGGAAAGUUUCGGCGGUUGGGGAUGGACUCGCGGCUUAUCAGCUUGUUGGUGGGGUAGUGGCUUACCAAGGCUUUGACGGGUAGCCGGCCUGAGAGGGUGACCGGCCACAUUGGGACUGAGAUACGGCCCAGACUGCUACGGGAGGCAGCAGUGGGGAAUAUUGCACAAUGGGCGGAAGCCUGAUGCAGCAACGCCGCGUGCGGUAUGACGGCCUUCGGGUUGUAAACCGCUUUCGCCUGUGACGAAGCGUGAGUGACGGUAAUGGGUAAAGAAGCACCGGCUAACUACGUG